UGAGGAAUAUUGGUCAAUGGUCGGGAGACUGAACCAGCCAAGCCGCGUGAGGGAUGAAGGUACAGAGUAUCGUAAACCUCUUUUGUCAGGGAACAAAAGGCGCCACGCGUGGCGCUCCGAGUGUACCUGAAGAAAAAGCAUCGGCUAACUCCGUGCCAGCAGCCGCGGUAAUACGGAGGAGUGCGAGCGUUAUCCGGAUUUAUUGGGUUUAAAGGGUGCGUAGGCGGCGAGUUAAGUCAGCGGUAAAAGCCCGGGGCUCAACCCCGGCCCGCCGUUGAAACUGGCUUGCUUGAGUUGGAGAGAAGUAGGCGGAAUGCGCGGUGUAGCGGUGAAAUGCUUAGAUAUCGCGCAGAACUCCGAUUGCGAAGGCAGCCUACCGGCUCCAGACUGACGCUGAGGCACGAAAGCGUGGGUAUCGAACAGGAUUAGAUACC
RNAcentral lists this ribosomal RNA (434 nucleotides) under uncultured bacterium. RNAcentral describes it as "bacterial SSU rRNA". It matches the Rfam family "Bacterial small subunit ribosomal RNA", at positions 355 to 786 of the family's 1533-position model. The record is from RNAcentral.